Dreissena polymorpha is the source of this 2558-nucleotide RNA transcript. RefSeq lists it as uncharacterized. The transcript has 12 exons. The record is from RefSeq and is a predicted model, not a curated record. NCBI's taxonomy places the organism in Eukaryota, Metazoa, Mollusca, Bivalvia, Myida, Dreissenidae.
AGCCGCAGACGGUCUACAAUCCGCUAGCUGUCUUGCUCUGACUGGUGCACUGGACAUGAUUUCAAUGAGAGUCAUCAUACUGAUUGUUUAAUUCAAACAUGAAUUUCAGUUUGUUCGUUAAAGUACUAACUUAGCUGUGUAUUUACAGUGGACGUAGUGGUGCGUCGCAUGCGGUAGACUAGGUAUUUCCAUAUAUACACUAUGUUUACAGAAUUGCGGCCGGUGGAGCAACAUAGCUGAUGAGUAAAUAGCGCUAGUUCUUCAGACAAAUAACUUUAUUUUCAACCUAUAAAGCAUAUUUAGCUGUAGGUGGGGCCAUUUAGCUGUAAGAUCUGGCUUUGGUUCUGUUAAGCCCUUAGAGUAAUGAAUUUCAGAGUGAAGACCAUAGCGCCUUUUCCUAGUCAAGUAUCAGGCAGCUGUAUGUCUUUUCAGAAAUGCACAUGUCUUCUUUAGUAUGUCAUUGUGAUUGCUUUUAAGAUAGGCAAUAAACUCAUAACCUUUAGAAAAAGGAGCAUCUGUAAAUUCAGAUUUCACUAUUUCAGAGUCAGCCAGACCAUGAUUGAGCUUAAGGAUUGUGCUGCGGAUGCGGCCUGUGCAGUUCCGGGAGAAAGUCACUGUCUUGGGCAUUGCGGUCUGGUAUCAGGUCUGGAUGAUCCUUGCCUGACUCCGGGUUUGUGUACACCUCAAUCCGACUCCCUGUCCGGUACCGAGGCCGCAGUGGUGCAGCGCUUGUGGACGAUCCAUCGACAUCCUGAAAGGUCAACACUUCACCAAGCUGGGAAAAUUGAUCCUGAUAGUCAUCCCCAGAGUCAGCCAGACCAUGAUUGAGCUUAAGGAUUGUGCUGCGGAUGCGGCCUGUGCAGUUCCGGGAGAAAGUCACUGUCUUGGGCAUUGCGGUCUGGUAUCAGGUCUGGAUGAUCCUUGCCUGACUCCGGGUUUGUGUACACCUCAAUCCGACUCCCUGUCCGGUACCGAGGCCGCAGUGGUGCAGCGCUUGUGGACGAUCCAUCGACAUCCUGAAAGGUCAACACUUCACCAAGCUGGGAAAAUUGAUCCUGAUAGUCAUCCCCAGAGUCAGCCAGACCAUGAUUGAGCUAAAGGAUUGUGCUGCGGAUGCGGCCUGUGCAGUUCCGGGAGAAAGUCACUGUCUUGGGCAUUGCGGUCUGGUAUCAGGUCUGGAUGAUCCUUGCCUGACUCCGGGUUUGUGUACACCUCAAUCCGACUCCCUGUCCGGUACCGAGGCCGCAGUGGUGCAGCGCUUGUGGACGAUCCAUCGACAUCCUGAAAGGUCAACACUUCACCAAGCUGGGAAAAUUGAUCCUGAUAGUCAUCCCCAGAGUCAGCCAGACCAUGAUUGAGCUUAAGGAUUGUGCUGCGGAUGCGGCCUGUGCAGUUCCGGGAGAAAGUCACUGUCUUGGGCAUUGCGGUCUGGUAUCAGGUCUGGAUGAUCCUUGCCUGACUCCGGGUUUGUGUACACCUCAAUCCGACUCCCUGUCCGGUACCGAGGCCGCAGUGGUGCAGCGCUUGUGGACGAUCCAUCGACAUCCUGAAAGGUCAACACUUCACCAAGCUGGGAAAAUUGAUCCUGAUAGUCAUCCCCAGAGUCAGCCAGACCAUGAUUGAGCUUAAGGAUUGUGCUGCGGAUGCGGCCUGUGCAGUUCCGGGAGAAAGUCACUGUCUUGGGCAUUGCGGUCUGGUAUCAGGUCUGGAUGAUCCUUGCCUGACUCCGGGUUUGUGUACACCUCAAUCCGACUCCCUGUCCGGUACCGAGGCCGCAGUGGUGCAGCGCUUGUGGACGAUCCAUCGACAUCCUGAAAGGUCAACACUUCACCAAGCUGGGAAAAUUGAUCCUGAUAGUCAUCCCCAGAGUCAGCCAGACCAUGAUUGAGCUUAAGGAUUGUGCUGCGGAUGCGGCCUGUGCAGUUCCGGGAGAAAGUCACUGUCUUGGGCAUUGCGGUCUGGUAUCAGGUCUGGAUGAUCCUUGCCUGACUCCGGGUUUGUGUACACCUCAAUCCGACUCCCUGUCCGGUACCGAGGCCGCAGUGGUGCAGCGCUUGUGGACGAUCCAUCGACAUCCUGAAAGGUCAACACUUCACCAAGCUGGGAAAAUUGAUCCUGAUAGUCAUCCCCAGGUAGUGAAAUGAAUGUACACUGAACUACAGAGGAAUCACACCCAAAUGACUUUUCCGACAUUAGUGUGGCCCCUCGGGCAGGAAUUCCUUAGCAAACAUGUUUAUUUGCAUGGGGACUGUGGCAUUUUUGCAAAACUUAAGCUUUCAACGCUGGAUUUUAAAGAGAACACUUAAUAAAAUGAAGCCAACAGGACUUAUUUUAAUGAGAGAGACUAUCUGGAUGAGCAACAAAUGUCACAUUGUGUCGUAAGCUGUUGAAGGAGCGAUUUGCGCCAUUUCAAGUGUUAAUUUUGGGUAGCAGGCUUGUAUCGGCUUGAAAGCUGCAAAUUAUUCCUCUCAUCAUGAUAGCAUUAAUUAUUUUAAUUGCAAUGUGUAUGUUUAGAUUGUAAGUGAAGCUUUUAAUAAUAAUUUUCUUGAAAAACAUGA